RNAcentral lists this ribosomal RNA (471 nucleotides) under uncultured bacterium. RNAcentral describes it as "bacterial SSU rRNA". It matches the Rfam family "Bacterial small subunit ribosomal RNA", at positions 40 to 518 of the family's 1533-position model. The record is from RNAcentral.
CGGCGCACAUAAGACAUGCAAGUCGAACGAACUUAAUUCAUCUUUAGAUUGAAAGCGGUUAGUGGCGGACUGGUGAGUACAACAUAAGCAACCUGCCUAUAAGAGGGGAACAACAGUUAGAAAUGACUGCUAAUACCGCAUAUGGCCAUAGUAAUCACAUGAUUAUAGUGGGAAAGGAGCAAUCCGCUUAUAGAUGGGCUUAUGGCCUGAUUAGCUAGUUGGUGGGGUAACGGCCUACCAAGGCGACGAUCAGUAGCCGAACUGAGAGGUUAAACGGCCACAUUGGGACUGAGAUACGGCCCAGACUCCUACGGGAGGCAGCAGUCGGGAAUAUUGCGCAAUGGAGGAAACUCUGACGCAGUGACGCCGCGUGCAGGAAGAAGGUUUUCGGAUUGUAAACUGCUUUAGACAGGGAAGAAAAAAGACAGUACCUGUAGAAUAAGCUCCGGCUAACUACGUGCCAGCCGCAGC